Long non-coding RNA from Aegilops tauschii subsp. strangulata, 3515 nucleotides. RefSeq lists it as uncharacterized. NCBI's taxonomy places the organism in Eukaryota, Viridiplantae, Streptophyta, Magnoliopsida, Poales, Poaceae. The record is from RefSeq and is a predicted model, not a curated record.
CACCUCCCCAAGUCACAGUCGCGUUGGGCUCGCGCAUAGCAGAGCUCGAUCCCCUUUCCUCUUCUGCCGCCGCCGCCGGCAACCCGCCCUCGCCGCUCAGCCCUUGACGACGGCCACCCACCCAGCUCCCUACACGCCCACCGGCGCCCCCACCCACUCUCUUCCCUCCGCCCCUCGAUUCCCUGCCAAACCCUAGGUGCUGCCGGCCGCCGUCUCGACUCGAGCCCCUCCUCCGCCUCCCUCUCAGCCUCGACGCACCAGCCCAAGCAGCAGCGCGCUGCAGAUGGAGCUCCUCCUCCGCUGCAGACAAGGAGGUGCUGCUCGGCGACCACCUCCCCGACCCGCUUCUGCCGUCCACGUCCCCGACCCGCUGAUGCCGGCGACGACUCCGUCCCCAAUCUGCAGCUGCCCAAUUCUCCACGUGUCGGAUGUGAAGCCCAGGUGGGCCGUCUCCAUGGCGUGCAGGAGGUCUUGUUGCUUCUCGCCCCCCCCCCACAAGGAGGCAAACCUUGAUGCCGCCUUCCUUUCAAGAGAUCGUCGACGUCGGCACAACCGACAGGUCACAUUUUUUCUCUUUGGUUGCGCUCGAACUCAUAUUGCGGCCAUGCUAUCUGCUAGUUUAUGCAGGGUGCCCUGGGCGUGUGAUGCUGGGACUGUUAAAGUAGCUUCUAUGCUAGUUUGCAAUUGUGCACUUGCUGUUCAAGGGUACCGAGGAAGAGGGGGACUAGAUGAUGGGGAGGGUAGCUGCCUGCAGCCUGAUGCAUCACAUUUGGAAGGAAGCAACCCGGCGGACAAGGAGAUGCCAUCAUCAUAUAUACGCCUUGGUCGAGCUAUCUUUGCCAGUCUAAGUCUCAAUCUGGUUUGGCUGGAUCAACUUGGACGCCCAAGUGGAGGACGGGGGAGACCACAUUGACCAUCUCGAGCUCGAUAGACAUCCUCGACCCCGACCACCUGCAAAAGGGAGAGACGCGUCUCAUGGAUGCUUGCCAAUGACAUGCACACGUCCUGCUGCUAGGGACGGACGGACACGCUGGACGGCAUCAGCUACGGCGUGGGACUGUUGUGACCUACAGUUGCUGUGCAUAGUCACCAUGGUGCCUUCCAGCCAAAAAAGCAUCUCUGGAGGACUAAGAUGAAGACACCGAACUGCCUCCCCGAACCCUAGCUGAGGUGGCGGAGGAGGAGCUGAACCGGGGAACCAGAAGGAGGAACGUCGUCGGCGACAUCCAUAAGCCCCGCUCCGGAUCGACUAUGAGGAACAACAAGGGAGACACCCUCGCAUGCUUUGCCAUAAGGAAGCCAGCAGGACAGAAGAUCAUGCCGAUUGAUUUCAUUUCCCUGGUCUGCUCCUGCCUGUGGUUGCGUGCACGGCCAAGGAUCCACAGCAGCUGGACGUCAACGAUGACGCACAAGGCGAGGAGGAGCUGCAACUGGGCGUCCAGUCAGAUCCCGACCACCACGACGCCAACAAAAAAAGAUGCCAACUGACCGAGGAGGAGGGCAAGGCGUCCUGCUUGAUCCAGCCCAGCAACCGCCCGUGCUGUCCACCACGCCGAUGGCGUCCCCAAGUGCUAGGCCGCCCACACCGCAGCCAUGCUGGUGUCCUGGUUCGGCUACUAAACCUCAUCCGCUGCCCAUGUGUUUUCAGGUCAAGUCCACCACUGGUUGUGGUCUCGGAUAGCACCCGGAGCUGCUGCUGCCGGCUUCUCUCACUGAUGUCCUGUUCAUCUCUCUCUGAUGUCGCUGGAGAGGAUGCCACCUUCUCGUUGCUCGAGCACAAGGAUGUACAUGCUCACCAUCAAGUAGGGCAACUAGAAGAAGAUGCUGGAGGAUGAGCACAACCAGCUGACUUUUAGGAAGGUCAUUAUUUGUCGCUCUACUUCUCUCCCCUUGAACGGAGCAGCUGCUCAUGCGGGCACUAGAGCUGCUGCUGGCGUCCACCCGGAGCUGCUGCCAGCCACCACUCCUACCUGCGCUGCCGGCGAGGGAGGCAUCUCCUGGCUGCUUGCUGAUGGCCACCAGCUACGGCGUCGAUCGACGUCUAUAGGUCAAUGAUGUGCGCUUGGAGCCCACCACCACUGGUCUCCCAUGCCGACGGCGCUGUUGUAGACAGGCAGUGGGCUCGGAUGGCGCCCCUCCGCAUAUCCCGGAGCUGCUCCUGCUGCUGGCCGCGUCCUUGAGCUUCUUCUGCUGGCCAUCUCUUUGACCUGCUGCUGCCGGGGUGGUGGUGACGUUCAUCCUCGGCUACAACUCCCUCAGGGCUCCUCGGUUCCCUUCUUUCUCUUCUAUGUGCUCUGUUGUACCACACGGCCAUUGAGCCGUGGUUUGCUGCUCCGGGCAUCGAGUCGAUGCCUUGUGUUGAGCCGUUGAACUUUUUUGGAAUUUGUGGUGCUUUUUCGGUACUCGAAUGUGCCGUUGCUGGUGUAGUUGAUCUGGUACUAGUUCUAUUUGCUCUAAUUGUUCUACUGGUCAUGAACCCUAUUUCGGUUACUGUUUGGUUAGUUAGUUUAGAACAAUUGGCUACUGCUCUUUGAUGUUUUGGUUAGUUUCAAUUAGCUCAAAUGUCAAACAAGAAAAACGUGAUAAUCUUGCUGUCUUCUUAGAGCUUAUACUCAUGUUUAGAUAAGAUAGUAUUGAUCUGGCAUUUCAGUUGAUUACCAUGCAAUUGGUGUAGUUAUAUGCCUUGAUUCAAGUGCCCUGUUAAGGGGUUAAUCAAUAGAAUCACCUUUCAAUCCUGUGUAAAUUUGAGAUUUAUCUUCUCUUUGUAUGGAACCAAGCAUUUACUUAUGCCUGAAAUUGGUGGUUUGUGUUUAAAGUAGGCAUUACAAUGACAAAGAAACUGAGCCAGUGCAAGGAUUUUGGGAUUGGCCGUGUGUUACCAUGACAGAAAGGAAGGAGUGCGAUUGCAUGUCCAGGCUACGGCGGUGCUGGCCACGGCCUCCUGCCCCUCGCGCGCGGUUAUAGGGCAAGGUGGCACUUGGCCUAGACUACCUCAUCUACUUCCUCUCCGACUCGAGUUCACCGCGCCGCAACCGCAGUGGCGGUGCUAUCUCGGUGUGGGCCACAAUUCUCUCAGGGGAGUGUGAGAUGGCAAAACUGUUGGUUUCUUCUUUCUAAAGGAGGAGCAGACGUGUGUCAGGACUGUAGCAGCAUCGACAACAGCAAGAUUGAUCACAGUACUGAUUCGUUUGUCCUAGUGCCUAUCAGCCGUCGAUCUGCAAUCUAACGGAAGCUGGAGUGGCGUACCGCUUCGCACUCAAGUUCCCCAUCCCCAGCCCACAGAUCUCCGGAUGAAUGGCUCACGUGGAUGUAACGCUAGUGAAUUUACCAAGCACUGUACCUUGCUGAACAUGUCGCUAUCUUACUUUUCCCUAGCUGAACCUCUUUUUAACGUUUCUCUGGCUUGUGGAGAGGGCAUUCUAGAUGUAUCUGGGCUUUGCCCCUUAAGCCGUUCGGCUGGUGAACCCUAGCUCGCUACUUCCAGAUCUAGCUUAAAUCGAUCCCCAUUUCCUACA